This 2180-nucleotide ribosomal RNA is filed under the name Bacillus thuringiensis serovar azorensis. RNAcentral describes it as "bacterial LSU rRNA". It matches the Rfam family "Bacterial large subunit ribosomal RNA", at positions 1 to 2180 of the family's 2925-position model. The record is from RNAcentral. Lineage: Bacteria; Bacillati; Bacillota; Bacilli; Caryophanales; Bacillaceae.
UUUGGUUAAGUUAGAAAGGGCGCACGGUGGAUGCCUUGACACUAGGAGUCGAUGAAGGACGGGACUAACGCCGAUAUGCUUCGGGGAGCUGUAAGUAAGCUUUGAUCCGAAGAUUUCCGAAUGGGGAAACCCACCAUACGUAAUGGUAUGGUAUCCUUAUCUGAAUACAUAGGGUAAGGAAGACAGACCCAGGGAACUGAAACAUCUAAGUACCUGGAGGAAGAGAAAGCAAAUGCGAUUUCCUGAGUAGCGGCGAGCGAAACGGAACAUAGCCCAAACCAAGAGGCUUGCCUCUUGGGGUUGUAGGACAUUCUAUACGGAGUUACAAAGGAACGAGGUAGACGAAGCGACCUGGAAAGGUCCGUCGUAGAGGGUAACAACCCCGUAGUCGAAACUUCGUUCUCUCUUGAAUGUAUCCUGAGUACGGCGGAACACGUGAAAUUCCGUCGGAAUCUGGGAGGACCAUCUCCCAAGGCUAAAUACUCCCUAGUGAUCGAUAGUGAACCAGUACCGUGAGGGAAAGGUGAAAAGCACCCCGGAAGGGGAGUGAAAGAGAUCCUGAAACCGUGUGCCUACAAAUAGUCAGAGCCCGUUAACGGGUGAUGGCGUGCCUUUUGUAGAAUGAACCGGCGAGUUACGAUCCCGUGCGAGGUUAAGCUGAAGAGGCGGAGCCGCAGCGAAAGCGAGUCUGAAUAGGGCGUUUAGUACGUGGUCGUAGACCCGAAACCAGGUGAUCUACCCAUGUCCAGGGUGAAGUUCAGGUAACACUGAAUGGAGGCCCGAACCCACGCACGUUGAAAAGUGCGGGGAUGAGGUGUGGGUAGCGGAGAAAUUCCAAUCGAACCUGGAGAUAGCUGGUUCUCCCCGAAAUAGCUUUAGGGCUAGCCUUAAGUGUAAGAGUCUUGGAGGUAGAGCACUGAUUGGACUAGGGGUCCUCAUCGGAUUACCGAAUUCAGUCAAACUCCGAAUGCCAAUGACUUAUCCUUAGGAGUCAGACUGCGAGUGAUAAGAUCCGUAGUCAAAAGGGAAACAGCCCAGACCGCCAGCUAAGGUCCCAAAGUGUGUAUUAAGUGGAAAAGGAUGUGGAGUUGCUUAGACAACUAGGAUGUUGGCUUAGAAGCAGCCACCAUUUAAAGAGUGCGUAAUAGCUCACUAGUCGAGUGACUCUGCGCCGAAAAUGUACCGGGGCUAAAUACACCACCGAAGCUGCGGAUUGAUACCAAUGGUAUCAGUGGUAGGGGAGCGUUCUAAGGACAGUGAAGUCAGACCGUAAGGACUGGUGGAGUGCUUAGAAGUGAGAAUGCCGGUAUGAGUAGCGAAAGACGGGUGAGAAUCCCGUCCACCGAAUGCCUAAGGUUUCCUGAGGAAGGCUCGUCCGCUCAGGGUUAGUCAGGACCUAAGCCGAGGCCGACAGGCGUAGGCGAUGGACAACAGGUUGAUAUUCCUGUACCACCUCUUUAUCGUUUGAGCAAUGGAGGGACGCAGAAGGAUAGAAGAAGCGUGCGAUUGGUUGUGCACGUCCAAGCAGUUAGGCUGAUAAGUAGGCAAAUCCGCUUAUCGCGUAUGCUGAGCUGUGAUGGGGAAGCUCCUUAUGGAGCGAAGUCUUUGAUUCCCCGCUGCCAAGAAAAGCUUCUAGCGAGAUAAAAGGUGCCUGUACCGCAAACCGACACAGGUAGGCGAGGAGAGAAUCCUAAGGUGUGCGAGAGAACUCUGGUUAAGGAACUCGGCAAAAUGACCCCGUAACUUCGGGAGAAGGGGUGCUUUCUUAACGGAAAGCCGCAGUGAAUAGGCCCAAGCGACUGUUUAGCAAAAACACAGCUCUCUGCGAAGCCGUAAGGCGAAGUAUAGGGGGUGACACCUGCCCGGUGCUGGAAGGUUAAGGAGAGGGGUUAGCGUAAGCGAAGCUCUGAACUGAAGCCCCAGUAAACGGCGGCCGUAACUAUAACGGUCCUAAGGUAGCGAAAUUCCUUGUCGGGUAAGUUCCGACCCGCACGAAAGGUGUAACGAUUUGGGCACUGUCUCAACCAGAGACUCGGUGAAAUUAUAGUACCUGUGAAGAUGCAGGUUACCCGCGACAGGACGGAAAGACCCCGUGGAGCUUUACUGUAGCCUGAUAUUGAAUUUUGGUACAGUUUGUACAGGAUAGGCGGGAGCCAUUGAAACCGGAGCGCUAGCUUCGG